GUGGAGCAGGUAUAGGUGGUGGUCGUGGAGGUGGAGGAGGAAUUGGCAUAGGAAUUGGUAUCGGAAUUGGUGUUGGUGUAGGAGCUGGAGCUGGCCAAGGAACUGGUACCGGCAUUGGUUCUGGUAGUGGUGGAGGGGGUGGUGCUAAACAUUAAACAUGGAUGCAUGAUCGAUGCUAUGUAACUUUAGCCAAAAUAUUUACAAUUUACAAUGUACGUACCUCAAAAUGAGUUGUUCAUGUGCAAUAGCAAGUCUUUUAUGUGAUUACUUUCAUAUAUUAUUUGAUUGAUCAGUUUAAAGUUUGUAAAACUCUUAUCACAAUUAAUGAAGAUUUUGGAUUCUUGU
Molecule: long non-coding RNA, 345 nt
Filed under: Medicago truncatula (barrel medic)
Lineage: Eukaryota; Viridiplantae; Streptophyta; Magnoliopsida; Fabales; Fabaceae
Description: lncRNA gene22656
Source: RNAcentral